This 492-nucleotide ribosomal RNA is filed under the name uncultured bacterium. RNAcentral describes it as "bacterial SSU rRNA". It matches the Rfam family "Bacterial small subunit ribosomal RNA", at positions 29 to 525 of the family's 1533-position model. The record is from RNAcentral.
AACGAACGCUGGCGGCAGGCUUAACACAUGCAAGUCGAGCGGGCCCUUCGGGGUCAGCGGCAGACGGGUGAGUAACGCGUGGAACGUACCCUUUGCUACGGAACAACUCCGGGAAACUGGAGCUAAUACCGUAUGUGCCCCCCUUUAAAAUUUCAGGAAUCAUAAAAUGGCCUGGCAUUUUAUGGGGGGGAAAGAUUUAUCGGCAAGGGAUCGGCCCGCGUUGGAUUAGCUAGUUGGUGGGGUAAAGGCCCACCAAGGCGACGAUCCAUAGCUGGUCUGAGAGGAUGAUCAGCCACACUGGGACUGAGACACGGCCCAGACUCCUACGGGAGGCAGCAGUGGGGAAUAUUGGACAAUGGGCGCAAGCCUGAUCCAGCCAUGCCGCGUGAGUGAUGAAGGCCCUAGGGUUGUAAAGCUCUUUCACCGGUGAAGAUAAUGACGGUAACCGGAGAAGAAGCCCCGGCUAACUUCGUGCCAGCAGCCGCAGUAAAA